Molecule: ribosomal RNA, 1445 nt
Filed under: uncultured organism
Description: 16S ribosomal RNA
Rfam family: Bacterial small subunit ribosomal RNA
Source: RNAcentral
AGGAUGAACGCUAGCUACAGGCUUAACACAUGCAAGUCGAGGGGCAGCAUCAUCAAAGCUUGCUUUGAUGGAUGGCGACCGGCGCACGGGUGAGUAACACGUAUCCAACCUGCCGACAACACUGGGAUAGCCUUUCGAAAGAAAGAUUAAUACCGGAUGGCAUAAUUAUUCCGCAUGGGAUAAUUAUUAAAGAAUUUCGGUUGCCGAUGGGGAUGCGUUCCAUUAGGCAGUUGGCGGGGUAACGGCCCACCAAACCUACGAUGGAUAGGGGUUCUGAGAGGAAGGUCCCCCACAUUGGAACUGAGACACGGUCCAAACUCCUACGGGAGGCAGCAGUGAGGAAUAUUGGUCAAUGGACGAGAGUCUGAACCAGCCAAGUAGCGUGAAGGAUGACUGCCCUAUGGGUUGUAAACUUCUUUUAUACGGGAAUAAAGUUAGCCACGUGUGGUUUUUUGUAUGUACCGUAUGAAUAAGGAUCGGCUAACUCCGUGCCAGCAGCCGCGGUAAUACGGAGGAUCCGAGCGUUAUCCGGAUUUAUUGGGUUUAAAGGGAGCGUAGGCGGGUUGUUAAGUCAGUUGUGAAAGUUUGCGGCUCAACCGUAAAAUUGCAGUUGAUACUGGCGACCUUGAGUGCAACAGAGGUAGGCGGAAUUCGUGGUGUAGCGGUGAAAUGCUUAGAUAUCACGAAGAACUCCGAUUGCGAAGGCAGCUCACUGGACUGCAACUGACACUGAUGCUCGAAAGUGUGGGUAUCAAACAGGAUUAGAUACCCUGGUAGUCCACACAGUAAACGAUGAAUACUCGCUGUUUGCGAUAUACAGUAAGCGGCCAAGCGAAAGCAUUAAGUAUUCCACCUGGGGAGUACGCCGGCAACGGUGAAACUCAAAGGAAUUGACGGGGGGCCCGCACAAGCGGAGGAACAUGUGGUUUAAUUCGAUGAUACGCGAGGAACCUUACCCGGGCUUAAAUUGCAUUUGAAUAUAUUGGAAACAGUAUAGCCGUAAGGCAAAUGUGAAGGUGCUGCAUGGUUGUCGUCAGCUCGUGCCGUGAGGUGUCGGCUUAAGUGCCAUAACGAGCGCAACCCUUAUCUUUAGUUACUAACAGGUCAUGCUGAGGACUCUAGAGAGACUGCCGUCGUAAGAUGUGAGGAAGGUGGGGAUGACGUCAAAUCAGCACGGCCCUUACGUCCGGGGCUACACACGUGUUACAAUGGGGGGUACAGAAGGCAGCUACCUGGUGACAGGAUGCUAAUCCCAAAAGCCUCUCUCAGUUCGGAUCGAAGUCUGCAACCCGACUUCGUGAAGCUGGAUUCGCUAGUAAUCGCGCAUCAGCCAUGGCGCGGUGAAUACGUUCCCGGGCCUUGUACACGCCGCCCGUCAAGCCAUGAAAGCCGGGGGUACCUGAAGUACGUAACCGCAAGGAGCGUCCUAGGGUAAAACUGGUAAU